GGAGGAAUGGCUGAGUGGUUUAAAGCGGUAGACUGUAAAUCUAUUGAGGUUUCUCAUCGUAGGUUCGAAUCCUACUUUCUCCU
RNAcentral lists this transfer RNA (83 nucleotides) under Codium fragile. RNAcentral describes it as "tRNA-Tyr". It matches the Rfam family "tRNA". Rfam says of the family: Transfer RNA (tRNA) molecules are approximately 80 nucleotides in length. Lineage: Eukaryota; Viridiplantae; Chlorophyta; Ulvophyceae; Bryopsidales; Codiaceae. The record is from RNAcentral.